CUGUAAUCAACCUGUUCCCUCAGACAGCUGUAACCACACCUGGAGCAUCUGCAUCUGUGGCGGGUAGACAGAAAAGGCAGGUGAAGCAGCCUUUACAACACGGAUAAAACACACAGCAGAUGAUGCUGCAGCCGGACAACCCUACUAACAUCUGUGUCCCCCUGGAGGAGGAAGGAGUGCAGGAUGUGAAGCAGGCCCUGCCAAAUAACCCUUAGGUCCUUUCCGUCAGAGUCAAGCCAAACAAAGGAGCAGAGAUAUAAACUGAGUCUGAAAAAACAAGCAGAUUUUUAAAUUAUAUUCUCUAAACCUGUGAAUUAGUUUUAAUGCAACAUGUUGUUUUUAUUGUAAAAGAAUCCUUUUGAGAAAGUUAAUUUUUAAAUCCUUAUUUUCUUGUUUAUUUUCUUGUUGUUUCAGUAUUAACAUAAACUGUGUAAAUGAGAUAAUCUAUUUCUAAAUGCCAUCAUGCUAGUUCAUCAAAUGAACUGUGUUACACCAUACAGUAGGUGUUACUUAACACAAUGUUACAGUUUUGUUAAUUGCCACAUAUUUGUUGUGAAAAUUGGAAAAAGAAGGUUUUCAAACACCUCCAAAAAACAGCAGAUAUGUGGUGUACAGAAAAUGUGUGAUGUUAUGCAGAAAAACAGAAAACCAGUUCUUUUAAUAAAUAUAUUCUGAUUUC
Long non-coding RNA from Thunnus maccoyii (southern bluefin tuna), 679 nucleotides. RefSeq lists it as uncharacterized. The record is from RefSeq and is a predicted model, not a curated record. NCBI's taxonomy places the organism in Eukaryota, Metazoa, Chordata, Actinopteri, Scombriformes, Scombridae. The transcript has 3 exons.